AAAUCCGUCGACUUUUCAAAUCGUGAGG
Molecule: transfer RNA, 28 nt
Filed under: Oldenlandia boscii
Lineage: Eukaryota; Viridiplantae; Streptophyta; Magnoliopsida; Gentianales; Rubiaceae
Description: partial tRNA-Leu
Source: RNAcentral